CUACACACGUGCUACGAAUGGGCGGUACAAGGGUCGCAAACCCGUAAGGGGGAGCAAAUCCACCUUAAAGACCGUCCUCAGUUCGGAUUGAGGUCUGCAACUCGACCUCAUGAAGCUGGAAUCGCUAGUAAUCGCGGAUCAGCAUGCCGCGGUGAAUACGUUCCCGGGCCUU
Molecule: ribosomal RNA, 172 nt
Filed under: uncultured Syntrophorhabdus sp.
Lineage: Bacteria; Pseudomonadati; Thermodesulfobacteriota; Syntrophorhabdia; Syntrophorhabdales; Syntrophorhabdaceae
Description: partial 16S ribosomal RNA
Rfam family: Bacterial small subunit ribosomal RNA
Source: RNAcentral